UCCAUCGCCGGGCUGCCGAGCGGGCGAGGAGGGGAAGCAGCAGCAGCAGGAGGAGGAGCAGGAGGAGGACGAGGACCGGCAGGAGGACCAGCAGCAGCGCAGACAAGUGUCCUCCUUCUCCCCGGGCGGAGGGCUCGCAGCAUCCCGCCAGGCAGUAACAUAAAGACCUGUCAUACAGGGGAUAAGAAAAAAGAAAAAUUAAAGAGAUAGACCAUCUCACUCUGAAGCUAUUUGUACAAAGGUGUUUAUUUACAUAACUAUUACAAGCUACCUAGUCUGAUGAAGUUGAACUUCAAUAUUCAAGAGUGAUUUACUCAAUACAGCCUAAAAUCAUGUUGAAAAAGAAGAACAUAUCUGCAAGCAAAGCUUCCUUAGUCCUCUUUCUGUGCCAAAUUAUUUCUGCAUUGGAUGUACCUCUUGACUCAAAACUUCUAGAAGAAUUGUUGCAACCUCCUACAAUAACUCAGCAAUCUCCAAAAGAUUACAUUGUUGACCCUCGAGAGAAUAUUGUAAUACAGUGUGAAGCAAAAGGAAAGCCACCUCCUAGCUUCUCCUGGACACGCAAUGGAACUCAUUUUGAUAUAGAUAAAGAUGCACUGGUAACAAUGAAACCAAAUUCAGGGACCCUUGUCAUAAAUAUUAUGAAUGGUGGGAAGGCAGAAGCAUACGAAGGAGUAUACCAGUGUACAGCAAGGAAUGAACGAGGAGCAGCCAUUUCCAACAAUAUUGUUAUAAGACCUUCUAGAUCCCCUUUGUGGACUAAAGAAAAACUAGAACCAAAUCAUGUUCGAGAAGGUGAUUCACUAGUACUACACUGCAGGCCUCCUGUUGGCUUACCACCACCUAUAAUAUUUUGGAUGGAUAAUGCUUUCCAAAAGCUGCCUCAAAGUGAAAGAGUUUCCCAAGGUCUAAAUGGAGACCUUUAUUUUUCUAAUGUACAACCAGAAGACAGCCGGGAGGACUAUAUCUGCUAUGCAAGAUUUAAUCAUACACAAACUAUACAGCAGAAACAACCCAUUUCUGUAAAAGUCUUUUCAAUGGAUUCAUUGAAUGACACUAUAGCUGCUAAUUUGAGUGACACUGAUAUUUAUGGUGCAAAGUCAGUUACAGAGAGGCAGCCGGUUCUUCUAACACCAACAGGCAGCACAAGUACCAAAGUGGAACUCAGAGGAAAUGUGCUUUUGCUGGAGUGCAUUGCAGCGGGAUUACCCACACCAGUAAUCCGCUGGAUUAAAGAGGGUGGGGAACUGCCAGCCAACAGAACAUUUUUUGAAAACUUUAAAAAAACUCUCAAGAUUAUAGAUGUUUCUGAAGCCGACUCUGGGAACUACAAAUGUAUAGCAAGAAAUACAUUAGGUUCUGUUCAUCAUGUCAUUUCAGUAACUGUGAAAGCUGCCCCAUACUGGAUAACAGCACCCAGAAACUUGGUCUUGUCUCCUGGAGAAGACGGGACAUUGAUCUGCAGAGCUAAUGGCAACCCAAAGCCUAAUAUAAGCUGGUUAGCAAAUGGAGUUCCCAUAGCAAUUGCCCCAGAAGAUCCUAGCAGAAAGGUAGAUGGAGAUACCAUUAUUUUUUCACAUGUGCAGGAAAGGUCAAGUGCAGUCUAUCAGUGCAAUGCUUCUAAUGAAUAUGGAUACUUGCUAGCAAAUGCAUUUGUGAACGUUCUGGCUGAGCCACCAAGAAUUCUAACUCCUGCUGAUAAGCUAUAUCAAGUCAUUGCAGAUAGUCCUGCUUUGCUGGACUGUGCUUAUUUUGGUUCACCUAAGCCUGAAAUUGAAUGGUUUAAGGGAGUGAAAGGCAGCAUCUUGCGUGGAAGUGAAUACAUUUUCCAUUAUAAUGGAACCUUGGAAAUUCCAGUGGCUCAAAAGGAUAGUUCUGGUACAUACACAUGCGUAGCAAGGAAUGAAUUAGGAAAGAUACAAAAUGAGGUGCAAUUGGAAGUUAAAGAUCCAACAAUGAUUAUUAAACAGCCAGAAUACAAAGUGAUUCAGAGAUAUGGGCAAGUUUCAUUUGAGUGUAUAAUAAAACAUGAUUCUACCUUAUUACCAACAGUCAUAUGGUUGAAGGACAAUGAUGUACUGCCAGAUGAUGAAAGGUUUCUAGUUGGUAAAGACAACUUGACCAUAAUGAAUGUAACUGAUAAAGAUGAUGGAACAUACACUUGCGUAGUUAAUACUACUCUGGACAGUGUUUCAGCAAGUGCUGUGCUUACUGUUGUUGCUGCUCCCCCAACUCCAGCUAUCAUUUACGCUCGGCCAAAUCCCCCAUUUGACUUGGAAUUGACAGGUCAGCUAGAAAGAAGCAUUGAACUCUCAUGGAUACCAGGAGAUGAAAACAACAGUCCCAUAACAAACUUUGUGAUUGAAUAUGAAGAUGGGCUGCAUGAACCAGGAGUAUGGCAUCACCAGACGGAAGUUCCUGGAACUCAGACAACAGUACACUUGAAGUUGUCUCCGUAUGUCAACUACUCAUUCCGUGUGAUAGCUGUCAAUGAAAUUGGCAGAAGUCAGCCAAGUGAACCAUCUGAGCAGUACCUGACAAAAUCUGCAAGCCCUGAUGAAAAUCCUUCUAAUGUGCAAGGGAUAGGCUCAGAACCUGAUAAUUUGGUAAUAACAUGGGAGUCUUUAACAGACUUUCAGUCUAAUGGACCAGGACUUCAAUACAAAGUCAGCUGGCGUCAGAAGGAUGUUGAUGAUGAAUGGACAUCUGUUAUAGUUGCAAAUGUAUCUAAAUAUAUUGUGUCUGGUACACCAACUUUUGUUCCCUAUGAAAUAAAAGUACAAGCUUUAAAUGACCUGGGAUAUGCACCGGAGCCAUCAGAGGUGAUUGGACAUUCAGGGGAAGACUUGCCAAUGGUUGCUCCAGGCAAUGUUCAGGUUCAUGUUAUUAACAGCACAUUAGCAAAGGUGCAUUGGGACCCAGUUCCACUAAAAUCUGUACGUGGACACCUUCAAGGGUACAAAGUUUACUACUGGAAAGUGCAGAGCCUAUCCAGAAGGAGUAGACGGCAUGUAGAAAAAAACAUCUUGACUUUCAGGGGAAACAAGACUUUUGGAAUGUUGCCAGGGCUGGAGCCCUAUAGUUCUUACAAGCUGAAUGUUAGAGUUGUCAAUGGUAAAGGAGAAGGACCAGCAAGCCCAGACAAAGUGUUUAAGACACCUGAAGGAGUUCCUAGCUCACCCUCCUUUUUGAAGAUUACCAAUCCCACAUUGGACUCUCUGACUUUGGAGUGGGGUUCCCCUAUCCAUCCAAAUGGUGUUUUGACAUCAUAUAUACUGAAGUUUCAGCCAAUUAACAACACACAUGAAUUAGGUCCCUUGGUAGAGAUAAGAAUUCCUGCCAACGAGAGCAGCUUGAUAUUAAAGAAUUUAAAUUACAGUACACGGUACAAGUUUUACUUUAACGCACAAACUUCAGUUGGAUCAGGAAGUCAGAUAACUGAGGAAGCAGUAACAAUUAUGGAUGAAGCUGGUAUUCUCCGUCCUGCUGUAGGUGCAGGCAAAGGAUAUUCAGAAACCCUUUUUGCAACCUCCCCAGUCAUGCACACUGUCCGUCCAACAUUCUAUAAGGUGCAACCACUUUAUCCAAGGAUCAGAAAUAUUACAACAGCUGCUGCUGAGACCUAUGCCAAUAUCAGUUGGGAGUAUGAGGGACCAGAUCAUACGAACUUUUAUGUUGAAUAUGGUGUAGCAGGCAGCAAAGAAGAUUGGAAAAAAGAAAUUGUAAAUGGUUCUCGAAGCUUCUUUGUGUUAAAAGGUUUAACACCAGGAACAGCAUAUAAAGUCCGGGUUGGUGCUGAGGGCCUGUCUGGUUUUAGGAGUUCAGAGGAUGUGUUUGAGACAGGUCCAGCUAUGGCAAGUCGGCAGGUAGACAUCGCUACUCAAGGAUGGUUCAUUGGUCUUAUGUGUGCUGUUGCUCUUCUGAUCUUGAUUUUACUGAUUGUUUGCUUCAUAAGGAGGAAUAAGGGUGGCAAAUAUCCAGUGAAGGAAAAGGAGGAUGCACAUGCUGAUCCAGAAAUACAACCUAUGAAGGAAGAUGAUGGGACAUUUGGUGAAUACAGGUCCAUAUCUGCUUGGACAGGAAAGAAACUGGACAAGGAAAAGAAAAGAAAAGGUAGCUGUGCCAGUUCUUCUGAAGCAGACCCUGUCUUUACCAAACCAAAGUCUGUGAGAUCUGACAGAUCCAGCUUCUUCAGAAGGUCAGGGGAUCAAUACUCCAGCACCAGAUCAGAGACCUCCUACACCAGGAGGAAGGCUAGGCAGUCUUCAGAGCUUACAAGGGUUAGUUCUGUCUCUGCUUCCCUCUGCCAAGAGAAAAAAAAGUCAGACGAAUGGAAGUACAGGCGUGGCUCUAGACAUCAUGCUUCUGAGCAACAGAUAAUGGGGUCGGAGGAGGGCUCAGAUUCUCAGGCAGGACAGCCAUCCCCUUUCCAGCAACCCCUCAGCUGCAACUCAAUUCAUGGCUCAAUGAAAAAGCAGCAUUCUCUCCAGCACUGGUUCAGCCAGAGCCCAGACCACAGCUCAGAUUCAGAAGACACUCAGAGCUCCUACCACAGGAAGGUAAGACCUUCUACUACUACUUGCUUCUCUGAAUCUGAAAAGAAUUCAUUAAUGAAAUCUGUAAUAUUGCCUGAACUAGCUACUGUCUUAAAAAAUGCUUUGACAGCAGCCAGACAAAGUAUAACAUCUGUGGCACAGGCUAGGUCCCAUUCAGUAAAGCAUCCCAGGGGACCAGUUACAGAAAUUCCAGUGGUUCCUCUAGAAGCAACUGGGAGCAGUUCCCAAACUUUUGAGUCUGACCAUAUGGACAGUUCAAAAGGUUGGACAUCUUCUGGGAAGGAGAAACAUAAGGCUGACAAGGCUUUGGAGGUUGAGUCAUCUCCUGAAGAUGAGGAUGUGUCAUCUGAAUCUCCUACAGAAGACCAAGAAGAAGGACCAGAUCCUGUGCGUAAGUUUGACAUGGAGAAUCAGAAUUUUCUGUUCAAGCACAUAAAGAGGGUGUUAAUGCUAAAAUAUUCCAAAUCUGAAUGUGCUUCAGAAGAAUUGCCUAUCCCCUCUGAAGAAGGCAAAGUAGAUAAUGCUCUUCCUAUCCAUUCAGCAGUGGAAGAUCUUGUCUGUAGGAUUUGGGGUAAUCCUGAGGCAAAGCAUGAAGCCCCAGCAGUCCUACAUAAACUCUAUCCUCUUCCAGUGGAUAAAGCAGCUUUGUGGGGGAACUUGCCUAAGGUGGACAGGGCACUGGUUACUGAUGAUUCUGUAUUAUCUGUGCCAGCUAAUAGGGAUGUUUUCCCUAAAGAUCCUACUGAUAGAAAGGUUGAGGAAGCAAUUAAAAGAUCUUUCAAGCUAGUUGCAGCCCAGCUUGGAGUAUCUAUCUAUUGCACUUACACUUCUAAAGCAUUACUGAUAUGGCUGGAGGAAGAACGAGCCAGAUGCAAAAAGAAAUGGGUCUCAUCUGGUGCCAUGCAGAGGAAACGCAGGCUAUGUAAAAUUGCAGCUAAUUUUAUCCAUGAUGCAGCUGAGGAUUCUCUUAGACUCACUGUUAAAAAUAUGGCGUGCCUCACUGUAGCCUGGAGAGCUAUAUGGCUACGGCCUUGGACCUCAUCGCUAGAUCUAACAUGUAAACUGCUGUCUUUACCAUACACAGGCGGCAAAUUAUUUGGUGACUCCUUGGUUCAGAUCAUGAAGGAUUUCUCAGAACGCAGAUGCUCCUUACGUCAGCUGAAAAAAAAGAGCUCUGUCAGAAGCUCUUCAUUUUGUUAUCCUCACAAGUGUCUGAGCUCCUUUCGUUCUCCCCCAAAGUUUAAAGGGAGGAAGGGAAAGUAUAAGUCUUCGCAAUUAUUUCAUGCCAAAUAUGAAAGGACAUCUCUCUUUCAGAGAGACACCAAAUCAUCAAGAGGAACUUUCUAAGGAUAUAGACAUGCUUCUUCUUUCUCAGUAAUUGGAAAGAGUGAAAAACUUGGAAUUUUAUUCUGAAUACAAUUCAGUAUUUCUGGACAAGUAAGCCUAAUGCUUAGAAGAUUAGUUGUUUCAAAAUAAGAUUUUAAAAUUAAUUAAAUCUUAAUGACUGACUAAAAUCUUCUAGAGAAUUCAUAGCUUUCAAUUUUAGGGGAGAUUUUUGUCACAUUUAAUUUCUAGGCCUUUCAGUAUUCUUGGUAUGGCUUGGAUUUGUCUGAAGUUCUGCACUCUUCAACUUCAUCUAAGAGUAUAAUUUCUGCAGAACCAGCCAAUUUUGGAUUAUCGUAUCAAUGUAACAAUGGAAAUAAUGCUUUAGGAAGCACAGGUGUUUCAGGAACCUCAGAAUGACCUAGAACGGUAUGUUCCCAUAACUGGAGUCAUACCUGCACUUGUACCUAAUAAGGGGAAACAGUGCCUUUGUAGCAAACUUCACUACAAUCCCAGUGGUUUCUUGAGUUGAAGAAGACUGAGAUGGUGAAUUGUGGACAGUCAAUGCUUACACCAAGAAACUUCAAGAAGUACCACAAAUGUAUGUUUAUUUAAAUUCAAAUUAAAGACUUUCUAGAGCUCCCGUUAAGGACAGGUGUAUAAAUUAGCCUAAAUUUCCAUCCUGGGCCCUAAAUCAAGAGAAAUUAAGAAGUUACAGCAGCUACAGACCUGUGGAUUCCUGGAGAUGGAGAGAUCGCAAGCAUGUGUUUUUUAGUUAACUUCAGAGGAAGUAUGAAAAUCUAGCAUCUCAUUGCAGUCUGCAAAAUGUUCUUAGGAAAAUCAAAUAGGCCAGGCAACUACAGUAGUUGGACUGCUAGCGUGGUAAUGCAGGAUGUUUGCACAUUUUGUUGAUUUAUUUUGCCUCUUUUCUUUAACACUUUGACACAUACAAUAUUUUUCCUAGAAAUUCUUCGAUAUCCUAUGAGAGACUUUCUGGAAAUGGUUAAUGGAGAGUUCCGAGAUUGCUAGAUAAUAUAGUACUCUUCCUUUACAUUCUGGUUGAUUAACAAUGAGAAUAUAGUUUUUUACUAAUUCUCUUGUAGUUAUUCAAGUUUUAUUGCAGCUUAAGGUGUGUUUCCAGGGGGAUUGAGCAAUGAUUUUUUCCUCAGCACUAUAAUUCUAAGCUUGGUCUCGUCUAGUAUAAGAGAUGAUGUUAGUGGACUGCCUGAAGAAUUCUUGUCUCUGAAUAGUCCGAUUGGAUUUGGCAGCAGUCUUAUUGUGUCCUCAUUUAUGCACAUGUGCUUUCUUUGGCAGUUCUUAUUUUAAUUCUUGAACAUCUGUAUUACGGCUUUUUAAAGCAGUGCUUUGAUUUCUCUUUGUAUAAUUUUCCACCAGAAACAGCAAAGGUCGAAAGGUUAUUCAACCCAUUGCCAUUUAAAGCCAGAGCUUAUUCUCCCACUUUUUUCAGCUUCUGCCAGGAUUGAAGAUUGAAUAUUACAGAGAUGCUAAACAAAAACGACUCAGAAAACAAGUACAGAUGUGCCUAUGUCUUAGCUAGAUUAUAAGUAGUAAAAUGUUUUGAACUCUGGAUUGAUCCAGGUGCAUAAGCAUAUAGGGAAAGCAUUUUUCAUCUGCACAGUCCUAUCAGUUUAGGAGCAUGAGCAGAAAUAAACCUGUUAGGUAUUGGGUCAGAGGUUCUCCUGGAGCGUGCAGGGAAGCUAUAGUGUGAGGUACUUGUGACUUUACAUGACUGCUUAUACCUAAAUAUUUCUGGGCUAUUUUCCUGAGGGCACAGAAAAAGGGAUUUAUUGCUAACAGAAUUCCUCUUCUGCAACUUCCUUCUGUGCCCAAUAGCCCAGAAUGCUUUACCCAUUUUGUUUGUUUUAUGUUGCCUUUCAUCUGACAGUUGUGUUAAAAGGAAAAGUAGUAUAUUGCUAACCAUAUAUUGAGUCUUUUUGCAUGUCCAUGAAUGUGGCAAAGUUUAGUGGGAACUAGUUGCCUGCUGGACUGCAGAGGCCUCGUAAAACUGUCUUCCCCAUUCUGACUGGUUGCUGCAUGUAUCCAUAUCUAAGGAGGAAAAAUUGAAAAAUUGAAAGAAGAAAGGAGAUUUCAAGUGAUGCAGAGGACCAUAAACCUCUAAAAAAAGGAAGCCGGACGCCUUCAGACAGAACUGUGAAAAAAGAAGACAGUGAUGAUAGUUUAGUUGACUAUGGAGAAGGUGUAAAUGGUCAAUUCAAUGAGGAUGGCUCCUU
RNA transcript from Cuculus canorus (common cuckoo), 8131 nucleotides. It is a transcript of the gene named neuronal cell adhesion molecule, with no coding region annotated. The transcript is spliced from 34 exons. Lineage: Eukaryota; Metazoa; Chordata; Aves; Cuculiformes; Cuculidae. The record is from RefSeq and is a predicted model, not a curated record.